AAGGAAAAGAACGCCCAAACCCGAAUGCUGAUACACUUUUGGAUUAUUCGUUUCCAGCAAGAAACGAGCAAGAAAGCGAGGUGAGGAUUUUGCAUGUUUUUGGAGGAAUCGUGGCAAAAAAAUUUGUCUGAAAGCGAAAUCGAGAAUCGUCCAACUUCGGUAAUCGGCAACGGACACGUGGCUGCCGUAAAGGAGGGUGACAAGUAAAAAAAAAAAGAGGGAUAUUCGUCGAGCAAUUUGUGGAGAGGCGUCUGAAGCUGUGCACUGACAGGCAUCCAACUUCUGACCAAGAUACCCGAACUGAAAACCAACCCGAUGAACUGCUUUCCAACCCGAGUCCUACCGCCAGUCCCUACGUGCCACAUGUCACGUCCUAAAAAUUCGAAGGGUAAGUCUACGUCCGCUGGAGCUCGAAGCGUGCCUCUGCCCGCACUUGUGCACUACGCAUGGAGCCCAUGCAAGGGGGUGUCACGAUCAUGCAUGUCCAAGGCGUGUUGUCAAUGGCCGUAUGACAAAUGUCCUGGUCUUGCUUGUCCAGGAUGUGUUGUCCAUGGUUGCAUGCCCGUUCCAAAUCCCUUUUACAUGCUUUCAUCCUAGAUAAGUCUUUACCAUUUCAUAUUGGGUCAGUACGAGGGUGUAUGACCAUUCACCAAAACCAUGUCUACACCUGCAAGGGCUAAAAUGCCCCAAAAUGUACU
Long non-coding RNA from Cucurbita pepo subsp. pepo (vegetable marrow), 698 nucleotides. RefSeq lists it as uncharacterized. The record is from RefSeq and is a predicted model, not a curated record. NCBI's taxonomy places the organism in Eukaryota, Viridiplantae, Streptophyta, Magnoliopsida, Cucurbitales, Cucurbitaceae.